CAGCCGCCGCGGUAAUACCGGCGGCCCGAGUGGCGGUCACUUUUAUUGGGCUUAAAGCGUCCGUAGCCGGGUUGGGAAGUCCUCCGGGAAAUCUGGCCGCUUAACGGUCAGAAUGCCGGAGGAUACUCCCAGCCUCGGGAGCGGGGGAGGCCGAGGGGAUUCCCGGGGUAGGGGUGAAAUACUAUAAUCCCGGGGGGACCACCUGUGGGGAAGGCGCUCGGCUGGAACGCGUCCGACGGUGAGGGACGAAGGCCAGGGGAGCAAACCGGAUUAGAUACCCGGGUAGUCCUGGCGGUAAACGAUGCGGACGUUGUGUCGGACAAGCUAUGAGCUUGUCCGGUGCCGGAGGGAAACCGUUAAGUCCGCCGCCUGGGGAGUACGGCCGCAAGGCUGAAACUUAAAGGAAUUGGCGGG
RNAcentral lists this ribosomal RNA (414 nucleotides) under uncultured microorganism. Its description in RNAcentral is "bacterial SSU rRNA". It matches the Rfam family "Archaeal small subunit ribosomal RNA", at positions 459 to 872 of the family's 1478-position model. The record is from RNAcentral.